CAAUAAGCUAAUUAAGGGUGUAUGGCGGAUGCCUAGGCUCUCAGAGGCGAUGAAGGACGUGAUAAGCUGCGAUAAGCUUCGGGGAUUUGCACAUAAGAUUUGAUCCGAAGAUUUCCGAAUGGGGCAACCCACUAUAUUGAAGAUAUAGUACCGAAAGGGGCAAACCCGGUGAACUGAAACAUCUAAGUAACCGGAGGAAGAGAAAAUAAUAAUGAUUUCGUUAGUAGUGGCGAGCGAACGCGAAAGAGCCCAAACCGAUUUUGUUACGGCAAAGUCGGGGUUGUAGGACUGAGAUAUCGAGAAUUGAUUGAAUUAGAAUAACCUGGAAAGGUUGACCAAAGAGGGUGAUAGUCCCGUAUAAGUAAGAGAUAUGAUUGUAUCAGUAUCCUGAGUAGGGCGGGGCACGAGGAACCCUGUCUGAAUCUGCCGGGACCAUCCGGUAAGGCUAAAUACUCCUGAGAGACCGAUAGUGAACUAGUACCGUGAGGGAAAGGUGAAAAGAACCCUAAGUAAGGGAGUGAAAUAGAUCCUGAAACCGUACACCUACAAGCGGUCGGAGCCCAUUAACUGGGUGACGGCGUGCCUUUUGCAUAAUGAGCCUACGAGUUACUUUAUCUAGCAAGGUUAAAUUCUUAAGGAAUGGAGCCGUAGCGAAAGCGAGUCUGAAUAGGGCGUUUUAGUUAGGUUGAGUAGACGCGAAACCUGGUGAUCUACCCAUGGGCAGGUUGAAGCUGUGGUAACACACAGUGGAGGACCGAACCCGUUGACGUUGAAAAGUCUUGGGAUGACCUGUGGGUAGGGGUGAAAGGCCAAUCAAACCAGGAAAUAGCUCGUACUCCCCGAAAUGCAUUUAGGUGCAGCGUUGUAUUAGUUAUAUAGAGGUAGAGCUACUGAUUGGAUGCGGGGGCUUCAUCGCCUACCAAUUCCUGACAAACUCCGAAUGCUAUAUAAUGAUUUACAGCAGUGAGGGCAUGGGUGCUAAGGUCCAUGUCCGAGAGGGAAAGAACCCAGACCAUCAGCUAAGGUCCCCAAAUAUAUGUUAAGUUGAAUAAACGAGGUUUGUUUGCUUAGACAGCUAGGAUGUUGGCUUGGAAGCAGCCAUUCAUUUAAAGAGUGCGUAACAGCUCACUAGUCGAGCGAACGAGCAUGGAUAAUAAUCGGGCAUAAACAUAUUACCGAAGCUAUGGAUUUUUAGUUUUACUAAAAGUGGUAGGGGAGCAUUCUAGUUGUGCUGAAGGUGAAUCGUAAGGUUUGCUGGAACGGCUAGAAAAGAAAAUGUAGGCAUAAGUAACGAUAAGGCGGGUGAGAAACCCGCCCUCCGAAAGACUAAGGUUUCCUCAGCGAUGCUAAUCAGCUGAGGGUUAGUCAGGGCCUAAGGCGUACCCGAAAGGGGAAGUCGAUGGACAACAGGUUAAUAUUCCUGUACACGCACCCAUUAAAAGUGACGGAUUGCCCAGAUCUUUACGUACUGACGGAAUAGUACGUUGAGCCUAAACUUCGGUUGAAGCGAAAAGAAGUAAGCGGUUCCAAGAAAAGCGAGGGCUGCGUCCUGUACCGUAAACCGACACAGGUAGUUGGGAUGAGUAUUCUAAGGAGCUCGAGUGAUUCAUGGCUAAGGAACUAGGCAAAAUAGACCCGUAACUUCGGGAGAAGGGUCGCCCCACUUCGGUGGGGCCGCAGUGAAAAGGUCCAGGCGACUGUUUAUCAAAAACACAGGGCUCUGCUAAAACGAAAGUUGAUGUAUAGGGCCUGACACCUGCCCGGUGCUGGAAGGUUAAGUGGAGGGUUUAGACGCAAGUCGAAGAUCUGAAAUGAAGCCCCAGUAAACGGCGGCCGUAACUAUAACGGUCCUAAGGUAGCGAAAUUCCUUGUCGGGUAAGUUCCGACCUGCACGAAUGGUGCAACGAUCUGGACACUGUCUCAGCCAUGAGCUCGGUGAAAUUGUAGUAUCGGUGAAGAUGCCGAUUACCCGCUACGGGACGAAAAGACCCCGUGAACCUUUACUAUAGCUUAGUAUUGGCUUUGGAUAAGUAAUGUGUAGGAUAGGUCGGAGACUUUGAAGCAGCAUCGCUAGGUGUUGUGGAGUCAUUGUUGAAAUACGACCCUUUGCUUAUCUAGAGUCUAACCCAGUGAUGGGGACAGUGCUUGGUGGGUAGUUUGACUGGGGUGGUCGCCUCCAAAAGAGUAACGGAGGCUUCUAAAGGUACCCUCAGUACGCUUGGUAACCGUACGUAGAGUGCAAUGGCAUAAGGGUGCUUGACUGCGAGACCUACAAGUCGAUCAGGUUGGAAACAAGAGCAUAGUGAUCCGGUGGUUCCGCAUGGAAGGGCCAUCGCUCAAAGGAUAAAAGGUACUCCGGGGAUAACAGGCUGAUCUCCCCCAAGAGCUCACAUCGACGGGGGGGUUUGGCACCUCGAUGUCGGCUCGUCACAUCCUGGGGCUGGAGAAGGUCCCAAGGGUUGGGCUGUUCGCCCAUUAAAGUGGCACGCGAGCUGGGUUCAGAACGUCGUGAGACAGUUCGGUCUCUAUCUGUAGCGGGCGUUAGAAAUUUGCGUGGAUUUGACUCUAGUACGAGAGGACCGAGUUGAACUAACCUCUGGUGUAUCUGUUGUUCCGCCAGGAGCAUUGCAGAGUAGCUACGUUGGGAAGGGAUAAGCGCUGAAAGCAUAUAAGCGCGAAACCCACCACAAGAUGAGAUUUCUUUAAAGGGUGGUUGUAGACUACGACCUUGAUAGGAUAUAGGUGUAAAGGCAGUAAUGUCAUAGCCGAGUAUUACUAAUAACCCAUAGGCUUAUGUAC
This 2799-nucleotide ribosomal RNA is filed under the name Wenyingzhuangia sp. 1_MG-2023. RNAcentral describes it as "23S ribosomal RNA". It matches the Rfam family "Bacterial large subunit ribosomal RNA". The record is from RNAcentral. Lineage: Bacteria; Pseudomonadati; Bacteroidota; Flavobacteriia; Flavobacteriales; Flavobacteriaceae.